AGCGGCGAGCGAAGCGGGAAGAGCUCAAAUUUAUAAUCUGGCACCUUCGGUGUCCGAGUUGUAAUCUCUAGAAAUGUUUUCCGCGUUGGACCGCACACAAGUCUGUUGGAAUACAGCGGCAUAGUGGUGAGACCCCCGUAUAUGGUGCGGACGCCCAGCGCUUUGUGAUACAUUUUCGAAGAGUCGAGUUGUUUGGGAAUGCAGCUCAAAUUGGGUGGUAAAUUCCAUCUAAAGCUAAAUAUUGGCGAGAGACCGAUAGCGAACAAGUACCGUGAGGGAAAGAUGAAAAGCACUUUGGAAAGAGAGUUAACAGUACGUGAAAUUGUUGGAAGGGAAACGCUUGAAGUCAGACUUGCUUGCUGAGCAAUCGGUUUGCAGGCCAGCAUCAGUUUUCCGGGAUGGAUAAUGGUAGAGAGAAGGUAGCAGUUUCGGCUGUGUUAUAGCUCUCUGCUGGAUACAUCUUGGGGGACUGAGGAACGCAGUGUGCCUUUGGCGGGGGUUUCGACCUCUUCACACUUAGGAUGCUGGUGGAAUGGCUUUAAACGGUCCGUCUUGAAACACGGACCAAU
RNAcentral lists this ribosomal RNA (569 nucleotides) under Rhodotorula mucilaginosa. RNAcentral describes it as "eukaryotic LSU rRNA". It matches the Rfam family "Eukaryotic large subunit ribosomal RNA", at positions 85 to 670 of the family's 3401-position model. The record is from RNAcentral. Lineage: Eukaryota; Fungi; Basidiomycota; Microbotryomycetes; Sporidiobolales; Sporidiobolaceae.